RNAcentral lists this long non-coding RNA (699 nucleotides) under Homo sapiens (human). Its description in RNAcentral is "HSALNT0361673". The record is from RNAcentral. Lineage: Eukaryota; Metazoa; Chordata; Mammalia; Primates; Hominidae.
GACACAGCCGGGAUUUCCAGCCGGCGCUUUUGCACAUCCCACUUCUUCAGAUCCCUUCGGCAACUGCGAAGUCGCCUGGAUUUCCCAGCAACCUGCAUUCCAUUUGUCUCAUUGACCCUACUGCAUUUUUCCUUCGCAUCAUUAAAAAGGAUGUAAUGUACAGAAAAGCACAGACAGACCUAAACUCCAAUGCCAACCAUGCCAUCUGCUGAUUAUAAGACAGUGGAACAGAGUGCAUACAGAAAGAGCUCAGAAGUGAAAGAUGCGCAGAGUGCCCACAGUGGCAGCAACUAGCUGAGGGGCCUUCAGAUCGCAGCCUUCCGGACCACCGUUAUAACAGGUAGAGAUAUGCAAGGUUAAGUCCAGCUAUUGAAUUUUUAAAACCUAAAUUACACCUCUUCUCAACCUCUGCCUCCUCCAAGGAGCCUUACCUGAGGAGACAUCCUUGUCUGGUAUUAGUGACAUCAUUAAAUAACAUUCCCAAUGGAGGUAUAUGACGACUUCUUAUACAUGCCCAGAAUAGUGAUUCACAAAGUUGUGACACAUACACAUCACCCUGUAGAAAUUAUCAAAUUACUCUUUUGGUAAUUUUUACUGUUUUGGUAAUUUUUUUGUACCCUUUUUACUCUAAAGGGUAAAACCGGCAGGUUUCUCUAUUUAUAUUUCAUUAGAAUGAAAAGUCAUUACCUGUGUUUUCGU